CAAGUCUACUCGAGCAGCGUCUACUCGAACAGCAAGUCUGUUGGACGAAUUGAGAUUCAUCUUACACAGGGCGCCGUGACCGGAGAGGGCGCGGCCCCGCGCGAGGCUGUGGUCGGUGGCCUGCCCUGCGGCGUGAGUGGGGAGGGCAUCCAGCGCCCGCCGCGCGAGGCCUGCAAGCUGCCUAAGCUGCCGCCGCGGGCUGCCCUGUGAGGCCCGCCGCCCAAAUCGGCCAGUCCGGCCACCCCGCGGACCGAAGGCCGGUGGCCGGUCGCCGGGGCAAGCGAACGGCCGGCCGCCGCGGAGGACGGGGCCGGGGCCCCUGCCCUGCAGCCGCAAUCUGAGUCCGUCCAAGCUAGAGGCAGCGUGCCCCUCGCUGUUGUUGCCGUCCAGGCAGGGGUGCCCCUCGCCCUUGCUGUUUGACAGGACAGGGAAAUUGGCACACGGCCUCCCAACGCCGGCGGCCGUGCUUGCACCUCGCCGCAUCAGGGCCGGCGCAGCCACCUCGACGCGCUCGGCAGCCUCCCGCAGCGGUCCGCCUCUCCCAGCACCGGCGGCACGCCUCCACCUGCGUGAGGGCGCGCCUCCGCGGACGGCGGCAGGACUGGCGCGCUCGCCUCCCACGAGGACGGCGACGGGCCCGGCGGCGCUCUCGCCGCACUCCAGCGGGGGUGCUCCCAGCGGACUCCGGCGGCACGACUCCACCUGCGCGAGGGCACGCCUCCGCAGGCGUCGGCAGGGCCGGUGCGCCCGCCUCCCACGCGCGCAGCGACGGGACCGGCGGCGCUCCGGCUGCGGCGGCUGCGGGGGAUCAGUCGGCGGCGCGGGGUCAAAACAGAGGAGUUCGCCGGUCUGAGCCAAAAUGGGAUGGUGGGGGCUGAAAACGGAGCUUAGGGGUUGGAUGCGCAGCAGACCGUUGGAUGCUCCUUCUACGUUCUAGAUGGUCUCAAUGUUUCAACGUGACAUGCUAUAGCAAUGUCACUGAAUCCAAGUCCGAAAAAGGAAGGAGGGGAAAGAAUAUUAUAGGUAAGGGCAGUUGUGUCUUUUCACGUAUCUUUCUAUUAAAAAUGAAUAUAUUAAUAGAUAUAGUGUUCAACACCUAAUUGGCAUGAAAGUUUAGUAUGUUUAGGCAAAGACAUAUUUUUUUAGUGUGUUAUGGCAAAUGUCACCUUUUUUGAGUGGCCUGCA
Long non-coding RNA from Panicum virgatum (switchgrass), 1185 nucleotides. RefSeq lists it as uncharacterized. The transcript is spliced from 2 exons. The record is from RefSeq and is a predicted model, not a curated record. Lineage: Eukaryota; Viridiplantae; Streptophyta; Magnoliopsida; Poales; Poaceae.